ACAUGUAAUCAAAGACUAUGGCCAGAUGAAAAUUAUAUGUCUCCCUGGCUAUGCAAGGAUAUUAGGCUGAAAAUGAUUACUGAUUUAACAUGUGUUUGAUCUUUGAGGACAGUUUAUAUUUUGCGGUCGGUAGACUAUAAAAUUAAGUUAUAUACUAAAAAUUGCAUGUAUUCUUUUGUGAUUAUAAGAAGCUUCUAAUAUUAA
Molecule: long non-coding RNA, 204 nt
Filed under: Bos taurus (domestic cattle)
Lineage: Eukaryota; Metazoa; Chordata; Mammalia; Artiodactyla; Bovidae
Description: long non-coding RNA NONBTAT025153
Source: RNAcentral